RNAcentral lists this small RNA (1058 nucleotides) under Histoplasma capsulatum var. duboisii H88. RNAcentral's name for it is "Histoplasma capsulatum H88 hypothetical RNA". Lineage: Eukaryota; Fungi; Ascomycota; Eurotiomycetes; Onygenales; Ajellomycetaceae. The record is from RNAcentral.
AUGGCCGCCAGUGUGUGGGGGGUGUAUGACAUGUGGAACGCAACGGCUGGGAUGGUUUGAGUCGUGUUUCAUGCGCUGUCGUGGGGAGGUUCGAGACCGCCAGGACUGUGGGCGCUGAGCCUUCAUAUUGGUAGGAAGCUCUUGGCGCUGUAAGCAUUCUUGGGAACGUAAAACGAUGCAGCAGCACAUGUGCAUGCGUAUACAUGUACUGUACAUGCACUCCCUUUACCUCAUGAAUCCCGAUCCAUUUAUCGCUCCCGGCCUUGCUAUGUUGAGCCCUUCACUCAUCCUCAUCAAUCUGCUUCCUGCACUCUCCGGGUUGUAAAAUCUCCACUCACCCCAUUAGCGAGCCAUGCCAAGGACCAGGCCAGCGGUGAUUAACUAACUAUGAAACCCUCCUUUGGUCGAUGAUGUAAGCCAAGCUCGGCCGACAACAGCCCACGAAAGGAAAAGAAGGCACUCACUUUGAUGGGCUCCCCAACUUUUGAUACAGUUAGUAUCUUUCACCAGCGCCUCCCCCACUAAUAGCUCAGGGUGGUAAAUUGGAUACCAUGUAGAAAAUCGGAAGUUCAUUGGUUGCAUGUUCUGCAUGGUUCUCCAGGUUCGUGUGACUACGUUCCGCAUGUUAUCAAGCAAGCACUUGAGGCCAGUGGCACUCGACUUCCUUGUUCAAUGUUUCGUUGAAAACGCUGUCCCACUGCCAGAAUACUUGUCUAUAUGAGAGAAUUAGUUCAUCCAGAAAAGCCAAAUGUUUGGUAUGAAUCAUUUGUCGGUCAAUUUCUCUCUGCUGGUUUUGUCUGUGGUUCGUACUCGGAAGUUGGUGGGCUUGUGCUGUACUUCGCCAUUCUAAUAUCUAUCUCUACUGCAGAUACUAAAUAUUUACACUGAAAUAUUCUUACUAGUGUACCGAAUCUUAAGCCCACACUGCCUGGCCUCUAUUUUUCCUGAGAGUCCCUAUUCUCUUGAGUAAGAGAUGGAACGGCAAUACUUAAUGCCGGUAUCAAUAUUUCAGUUUAAAUUCUUAGUGUGAGUCAAAAACUUUUCACAUGUGCCGAAUC